AAUAUACUCAUAAAAAAAAAAGCGCUUUUACUUUUAAAGAAAACUCAAACUCAAGAGGAAGAAUCUGCAUUUUAUGGCUAAUAUAGAUGAAGCUCCUUUCGAUGUAACACGCGAAUCGCUCAUUGCUAUAUCGAAUUUGCUACCUGAUAUAAUAAUCGUGGAGAAUACUUGCAUCUUAAAUGGUUCUAUAACGACUUUAGGGGACAGAACAGAGGAUUUCAGGACGCAAUUGAUGUCGAUUUCGAGUACUUCAGUCGUGAAAUUAGUCAUUUGAUAUUUGUGUUAUGAGAGGGUACCGAUGUUACAUUCUAAGAGAGGAUGUGGCCCUUUCCUGAAUCUUGCGGGAAUGUGAGAUAUUUUGUAUAGCGAAAUCUUUGUCAUGUGUACUUUCUUCAAUUUUCGAGACACGGACCUCGAAUUUUAAGGUCGUGAAGUUACAUAAAAAAGAAUCUAUCUUCUAUUCACAUGAGAUAUGAAUAAAAUUUGUGUUUAUUUUGUCCUCGUCA
Solanum lycopersicum (tomato) is the source of this 506-nucleotide long non-coding RNA. RefSeq lists it as uncharacterized. NCBI's taxonomy places the organism in Eukaryota, Viridiplantae, Streptophyta, Magnoliopsida, Solanales, Solanaceae. The record is from RefSeq and is a predicted model, not a curated record.